This 253-nucleotide ribosomal RNA is filed under the name uncultured bacterium. Its description in RNAcentral is "partial 16S ribosomal RNA". It matches the Rfam family "Bacterial small subunit ribosomal RNA", at positions 524 to 776 of the family's 1533-position model. The record is from RNAcentral.
UACGGAGGGUGCAAGCGUUAAUCGGAAUAACUGGGCGUAAAGCGCACGCAGGCGGUUGGAUAAGUCAGAUGCGAAAGCCCCGAGCUCAACUUGGGAACUGCCUUUGAUACUGAUAUUCUUGAGUGUAGUUGAGGCAGGCGGAAUACAACAUGUAGCGGUGAAAUGCUUAGAUAUGUUGUAGAACACCAAUGGCGAAGGCAGCCCCCUGGGAUAAUAUUGACGCUCAUGCACGAAAGCGUGGGGAGCAAACAGG